CCGUGGUCAACGCCGGACGCGUCAGGGGCCCCGCUAGCCCGAGCCUCUGCCGGGGGCAGCUGCCCCCACGCACUUUCUCCUGCUGUGCGCAGGCGCCGCCGCUCCGCGCUCUUUGCCGGCUGGGAAGAGAAGGGUCGCGGACAACUCACCUAUCGCCGGAGGAGGAUUCCUGCCGCCUGCGGGCGCCACGGGCAGCCCGAGGCCGGAGCGGCAGUGCCAGGCAGUCAGCAGGCAGCAGACGAGUGCGCGCACCAGCGCCAUGGAGGGCCGCGGGGCUGACCUGGAGGUUCGGGCUGUCCCGCAGCUCCACUCGGACCGUCAGGCCUGAGGGUGAGGCGGAGACAGAAGACGGCUGCGGGUGUAGACGUCCGACUGAUCACGUGCAAAGGCAGAUUCCGCAGCGAGUCAGUUCGCCUGACCUUCAGCUGCUGUUUAGCGAUGAUCUGUUCUCGUAUUUCUUAGCGUCAGUGUUUGGCCUAGGAAGGAAUGUACUUGUAGAAGCUCAAAUUCCGACUCGUGUAUCAGUGGUGCAGUUGAUGUCAAACACUGACAUACUGGUGCUUGGGGAUAGAGAAAGACAUUCAAUUUAGUAAAAGCCAGAAGGAGGGAGAACAAGAUCUCUCAAAUCCGUGUGUAAAAAGGAAAAAGCAGGGAGUUUUUAUUCUGCUAGAGAAUAAGAGAGGGGGAUUUUCAAAGAAUCCAGGGGAAAAGUCUGUUUCUUCAGUCUCAGAUAACACCUUUGAGCAAUUAGACGUCCAGGCAUCCGCAGCUGGUUGCAAAGCCCUUGGAGGUAUUCAUCCCUUCUGCAAACAUUUUUGUGACCCUGAAGUUAACCUCUUUGUUCUUGACGAGGAAGCAGUACCUCAGCAGUUUAUAAUUAUAUUGUGGAAACAAGGAGAAUAUUGGGCAAAAAGCGAGUGGUUAAAAUGUGCAAGCAAGCAGGAGCCUGAUCAGAAUUUUCAUUAUUUCAGUCACUAAAAAAUGCUGGGGUGCUGAAAUCUCAACGAUCCCGGUUCCAUUCUUGGGCCAACCUACCCCAGCUUUAAUGGGUAGGGCUCCUCAGUAGAGGUGAUGCAGAGAGCCCUGAAGUAUCAUGAUUUGAAGGAAAUCAGCAAAAGUUAUGGAUACUGCAGUGGAUCUCGAAUUGAAGUCUCUGAACUGGGAACAUUAGCACCACCUGGGAACUCUAGUUAGAAAUGCAAAUUCCCAGGCACCACCCUAGACCUGUUGAGUCAGAAACCUGCUGGAGCCCAGCAGUUUGUGUUUUCACAAGCAUUUCAGGUCAUGUUAAAGUGAUUGUGAUGUUUGAAAACCAAUGCUCAAAGAUACGACGUUUUGUUUUUUGUUUUUUUUAAACUGCCGGGAAGAGAAGGGUCUUAGAAUUAGAACAUGUUCUGAAAUCAUGCUUUAUGCAUUCCAGAGAUGCAUGGAAAUCAUAAGUAGAGGUGGUUGAUUUGAUGCUUCCACGGAACUUUUUUGAAUAUACUUCUGGCAAAGAAGUAAGUCUAUACAAAGAAGUAAGCAAAGAUAAGUCUGGCAAAGAAGUAAGUCUAUACAAAGAAGUAAGCAAAGAUAAGUCUGGCAAAGAAGCCAGAAUCCCGAAACUGUGCUGGAUCCUGUAUUCUGUGUUCCUUCUCUCACCGUUUAUGAGGAUGCUGAUCUCUUGGAGAUGACAAGCUAAUAAUUUAAAUUUAUAGGGCGUGGAAUUCCUUUGCAGAAGAAAAUGCUUUCCAUAAUUACUAACCUCAAAAAAGAUGUUGUAGAGUGUAUUUCUUUCCCAGCAUAGAAAGCUUUGUUUUGUAUCCCAUGUAAUUUAAUGGGAGUGUGUGUCAUGAAACGGGCUUUGAAGUGGGAAGCAAGGUGCUUCCAUUUUCUGUUUUGUAAACCAAAAAUAAAAUUUGAAGGCCCCCCACAACCAUCUGAAUGGACGACCAUCUGUAUGGACUCUUUCCCCAGUCAGGGCACUCUAAAAUUUAACCUGAAAGACUGGUUCAGGCCAUGAAAAAGGGGAUGGGGGGGUUGGACAUGCGUAAUUAACAUCAACAUAGACCAUAAGUCUGAUAAGAAACAUUUAAGAUCUGUUUUCUCUAAAGCCUGCUACGUGGAGGCUUCGUCUGUGUGACAAAAUCUGGGUCUAACAACCCCUUAUCAUAACCCAGACAUCCUUUCUAUUGAUAAUAACUUUUUCAAUCAACCAAUUGCCAAUCAGGACAUGUUUAAAUCUUCCUGUGAUCUGGAAACACCCACCCCCCGCCCAGCUUCAAGUUGUCCUGCCCGUCUAGAUCGAACCAAUGUAAAAAUCUUACAUGUAUUGAUUGCUGUAUCAUGUCUCCCUAAAAUGUAUAAAAGCAAGCUGUAUCCUGACCACCUUGGGCACAUGUCAAGACCUCCUGAGGCUGUGUCACUGGC
RNAcentral lists this long non-coding RNA (2409 nucleotides) under Homo sapiens (human). RNAcentral describes it as "non-protein coding lnc-SERINC1-6:1". The record is from RNAcentral. Lineage: Eukaryota; Metazoa; Chordata; Mammalia; Primates; Hominidae.